Molecule: ribosomal RNA, 467 nt
Filed under: uncultured bacterium
Lineage: Bacteria
Description: partial 16S ribosomal RNA
Rfam family: Bacterial small subunit ribosomal RNA
Source: RNAcentral
GACGAACGCUGGCGGCGUGCUUAAUACAUGCAAGUCGAACGGAAAGGUCCUGCUUUUGUGGGGGGCUCGAGUGGCGAACGGGUGAGUAAAACGUGAGUAACAUGCCCUUGACUUUGGGAUAAAUUCAGGAAAAUGGGGAUAAUACCGGAUAGGAGCUCCUGCUGCAUGGUGGGGGUUGGAAAGUUUCGGCGGUUGGGGAUGGACUCGCGGCUUAUCAGCUUGUUGGUGGGGUAGUGGAUUACCAAGGCUUUGACGGGUAGCCGGCCUGAGAGGGUGACCGGCCACAUUGGGACUGAGAUACGGCCCAUACUCCUACGGGAGGCAGCAGUGGGGAAUAUUGCACAAUGGGCGGAAGCCUGAUGCAGCAACGCCGCGUGCGAGAAGACGGCCUUCGGGUUGUAAACCGCUUUCGCCUGUGACGAAGCGUGAGUGACGGUAAUGGGUAAAGAAGCACCGGCUAACUACGU